Molecule: ribosomal RNA, 592 nt
Filed under: uncultured Sebacina
Lineage: Eukaryota; Fungi; Basidiomycota; Agaricomycetes; Sebacinales; Sebacinaceae
Description: eukaryotic LSU rRNA
Rfam family: 5.8S ribosomal RNA (bases 172-325)
Source: RNAcentral
CAUUAAUGAUUGCGAAUGGUUGCCUUCGGUGCUGGCUCUUGCAAGUGCACGUUGGUGGCUUUCAUCCAAUACCCCUGUGAACCUUUGGCCUCUUGCUAGCUUCGGCUGGCAGAGGAUUUUUACACACUCGAAUGUAAUGAAAACUAUUGUCGUGCGCAAGCACUAAUGUACAACUUUCAACAACGGAUCUCUUGGCUCUCGCAUCGAUGAAGAACGCAGCGAAAUGCGAUAAGUAAUGUGAAUUGCAGAAUUCAGUGAAUCAUCGAAUCUUUGAACGCACCUUGCACCCUUUGGUAUUCCGAAGGGUAUGCUCGUUUGAGUGUCAUUGUACUCUCACACUCUCUGAUCCUUUGGAUUCAGGGAGCGGUGGACUUGGGUGUUUGCUGCUUUCCUGGUGGCUCACCUCAAAUGCGUUAGUGCACCUCUUGGUUGGACAUAGUACGGCGUGAUAAGUAUCUUCGCCGGCACCUCGCGAGAGGGUGGCCGAUUGGGAGCUCUGUGCUUUCAAACCGUCUUCGGACACUCUUGACAACUUGACCUCAAAUCGAGUAGGACUACCCGCUGAACUUAAGCAUAUCAAUAAGCGGAGGAA